Molecule: ribosomal RNA, 253 nt
Filed under: uncultured bacterium
Lineage: Bacteria
Description: partial 16S ribosomal RNA
Rfam family: Bacterial small subunit ribosomal RNA
Source: RNAcentral
UACGUAGGGAGCAAGCGUUGUUCGGAUUUAUUGGGCGUAAAGAGCGUGUAGGCGGCCAGACAGGUCCGUUGUGAAAACUAGAGGCUUAACCUCUAGACGUCGAUGGAAACCGUCUGGCUAGAGUCCGGAAGAGGAGAAUGGAAUUCCUGGUGUAGCGGUGAAAUGCGCAGAUAUCAGGAAGAACACCCGUGGCUAAGGCGGUUCUCUAGUACGGUACUGACGCUGAGACGCGAAAGCGUGGGGAGCGAACAGG